GUCCACGCUGUAAACGAUGGGUACUAGGUGUUCGGGGUAUUGACCCCCUGAGUGCCGCAGCUAACGCAUUAAGUACCCCGCCUGGGGACUACGGCCGCAAGGUUAAAAACUCAAAAGGAAUUGACGGGGGCCCGCACAAGCGGUGGAGCAUGCUGUUCAAUUCGACGCAACGCGAAGAACCUUACCUGGGCUAGACAACGGCGGACCGCCUGGGAAACCAGGCUUUCCCCUUCGGGGACUGCCGGUUCAGGUGUUGCAUGGCUGUCGU
Molecule: ribosomal RNA, 268 nt
Filed under: uncultured bacterium
Lineage: Bacteria
Description: partial 16S ribosomal RNA
Rfam family: Bacterial small subunit ribosomal RNA
Source: RNAcentral